GACCUCCCAGCAUCACAUCUGGAGAGUGACCAGUAUUAUAUUGCCAGCUUCAGAGAUUGAAGGGAGAGCAAGCCUGGCAGCGGUAUCUACCCCAUUCCCAGUUUGCUUAGUAGCUAGUAAAUCGAACAUAGUCUGUGGGCCAG
RNAcentral lists this small nucleolar RNA (143 nucleotides) under Erinaceus europaeus (western European hedgehog). Lineage: Eukaryota; Metazoa; Chordata; Mammalia; Eulipotyphla; Erinaceidae. The record is from RNAcentral.